AGGAAGCAGAGAAGCUGCUGCAGACACUUACUUGCCUUUUGCAGUACCGGUUUACACUUUGCACAUGGAUGUGUAUUCCUUGUCACCACACCAAGAAUAAAGGAAAGAGAGAAGCUGCUGCAGACACUUUCCUGCCUUUUGCAGUGCCAGUUUACACUUUGCACAUGGAUGUGUUUUCCUUGUCACCAGACCAAGAAUAAAGGAAGCAGAGAAGCUGCUGCAGACACUUACUUGCCUUUUGCAGUACCGGUUUACACUUUGCACAUGGAUGUGUAUUCCUUGUCACCACACCAAGAAUAAAGG
This is a long non-coding RNA of Prinia subflava (tawny-flanked prinia), 303 nucleotides long. RefSeq lists it as uncharacterized. The transcript is spliced from 3 exons. NCBI's taxonomy places the organism in Eukaryota, Metazoa, Chordata, Aves, Passeriformes, Cisticolidae. The record is from RefSeq and is a predicted model, not a curated record.